This 496-nucleotide ribosomal RNA is filed under the name uncultured Pseudomonadota bacterium. RNAcentral's name for it is "bacterial SSU rRNA". It matches the Rfam family "Bacterial small subunit ribosomal RNA", at positions 385 to 897 of the family's 1533-position model. The record is from RNAcentral. Lineage: Bacteria; Pseudomonadati; Pseudomonadota.
GAUCCAGCCAUGCCGCGUGAGUGAUGAAGGCCCUAGGGUUGUAAAGCUCUUUUGUGCGGGAAGAUAAUGACGGUACCGCAAGAAUAAGCCCCGGCUAACUUCGUGCCAGCAGCCGCGGUAAUACGGAAGGGGGCUAGCGUUGCUCGGAAUCACUGGGCGUAAAGGGUGCGUAGGCGGGUCUUUAAGUCAGGGGUGAAAUCCUGGAGCUCAACUCCAGAACUGCCUUUGAUACUGAAGAUCUUGAGUUCGGGAGAGGUGAGUGGAACUGCGAGUGUAGAGGUGAAAUUCGUAGAUAUUCGCAAGAACACCAGUGGCGAAGGCGGCUCACUGGCCCGAUACUGACGCUGAGGCACGAAAGCGUGGGGAGCAAACAGGAUUAGAUACCCUGGUAGUCCACGCCGCAAACGAUGAAUGCCAGCCGUUAGUGGGUUUACUCACUAGUGGCGCAGCUAACGCUUUAAGCAUUCCGCCGUGGGGAGUACGGUCGCAAGAAUUA